CCUAACACCACUUCUCUUGGACCCGUUGAGAUUUGUUUGUUACCUCUGCCACUUAUUAAGCAACUUUUUCCCGUAUUUACGAAGGUAGGGUUCUCUUCAGAGACCCUUCUUCUUCAUCAACCAUGGAAUAAGAAGGAAGGGUUUGUUCUUUGUCCACAGGCGUAAUUAAUUGCCUUGGAUCAGCCGGAGAUCGAGAAGCUUAUGAACGGAUAUCAAAGCUUGCCUCCACCUCACCUCCUCCAAUCCCAUCCUCCUCCGAAACUCAAACUCCUCUUAACCUUGCCUGCAACUCUAUCUCCACCUCUUCUUCUUCAAAAACUCCAGCCCCCUCCACAACGCCCACUGGUCCUUCUUUCACCUGCAAAACCAAAGAAACAAGUGAGAUACCCAUCAAAACGAAGAUCUCUUGCACUGAAAUAAGUAUG
Molecule: long non-coding RNA, 425 nt
Filed under: Vigna radiata
Lineage: Eukaryota; Viridiplantae; Streptophyta; Magnoliopsida; Fabales; Fabaceae
Description: long non-coding RNA (VRAD_LNC007783)
Source: RNAcentral